GUCAACCAAGUUCAGAGAGCACCAAGGACCCUCCAUUUCAACCCUGCGCUACAAAUAUUCUCCUUCAUAGAAGAGAUA
Non-coding RNA from Pseudonaja textilis, 78 nucleotides. Lineage: Eukaryota; Metazoa; Chordata; Lepidosauria; Squamata; Elapidae. The record is from RefSeq and is a predicted model, not a curated record.